This is a long non-coding RNA of Bradysia coprophila, 163 nucleotides long. The record is from RefSeq and is a predicted model, not a curated record. Lineage: Eukaryota; Metazoa; Arthropoda; Insecta; Diptera; Sciaridae.
CUCAAUUGCCAUUUGAAAUUACAUGCGAAAUGAGAGAAUACAGAAAAACGAUGAAAACGAUGAUGCCUCUUAAAAUCCCGAAAUCUAUGUUUCUCCGACUGUAAAUUGAACCAGAGACGAGGAGAAAAGCGGAAAAUAUAAUGUACCAAUGUUGUACCUGCUU